RNAcentral lists this ribosomal RNA (497 nucleotides) under uncultured bacterium. RNAcentral's name for it is "partial 16S ribosomal RNA". It matches the Rfam family "Bacterial small subunit ribosomal RNA", at positions 28 to 507 of the family's 1533-position model. The record is from RNAcentral.
GAUGAACGCUGGCGGCGUGCCUAAUACAUGCAAGUCGAGCGAACGGACGAGAAGCUUGCUUCUCUGAUGUUAGCGGCGGACGGGUGAGUAACACGUGGAUAACCUACCUAUAAGACUGGGAUAACUUCGGGAAACCGGAGCUAAUACCGGAUAAUAUUUUGAACCGCAUGGUUCAAAAGUGAAAGACGGUCUUGCUGUCACUUAUAGAUGGAUCCGCGCUGCAUUAGCUAGUUGGUAAGGUAACGGCUUACCAAGGCAACGAUGCAUAGCCGACCUGAGAGGGUGAUCGGCCACACUGGAACUGAGACACGGUCCAGACUCCUACGGGAGGCAGCAGUAGGGAAUCUUCCGCAUUGGGCGAAAGCCUGACGGAGCAACGCCGCGUGAGUGAUGAAGGUCUUCGGAUCGUAAAACUCUGUUAUUAGGGAAGAACAUAUGUGUAAGUAACUGUGCACAUCUUGACGGUACCUAAUCAGAAAGCCACGGCUAACUACGUG